Molecule: ribosomal RNA, 157 nt
Filed under: uncultured bacterium
Lineage: Bacteria
Description: partial 16S ribosomal RNA
Rfam family: Bacterial small subunit ribosomal RNA
Source: RNAcentral
UGAGGAAUAUUGGUCAAUGGGCGCGAGCCUGAACCAGCCAAGUCGCGUGAGGGAUGACGGUCCUACGGAUUGUAAACCUCUUUUGCCGGGGAGCAAGCGUGCGUUCGUGAACGCACGUCGAGAGUACCCGGAGAAAAGCAUCGGCUAACUCCGUGCC